Molecule: ribosomal RNA, 510 nt
Filed under: uncultured Glomus
Lineage: Eukaryota; Fungi; Glomeromycota; Glomeromycetes; Glomerales; Glomeraceae
Description: SSU rRNA
Rfam family: Eukaryotic small subunit ribosomal RNA
Source: RNAcentral
AGCAGCCGCGGUAAUUCCAGCUCCAAUAGCGUAUAUUAAAGUUGUUGCAGUUAAAAAGCUCGUAGUUGAAUUUCGGGAUCAAUACGUCGGUCGUGCUUCGGUACGUACUGGUGUCAUUGAUUUCUCCCUUCUGACGAACCAUGAUGUCAUUAACUUGGUGUCAUGGGAAAUCAGGACUGUUACUUUGAAAAAAUUAGAGUGUUUAAAGCAGGCUCACGCUUGAAUACAUUAGCAUGGAAUAAUGAAAUAGGACGUCCGAUCCUAUUUUGUUGGUUUCUAGGAUCAACGUAAUGAUUAAUAGGGAUAGUUGGGGGCAUUAGUAUCCAAUUGUCAGAGGUGAAAUUCUUGGAUUUAUUGAAGACUAACUACUGCGAAAGCAUUUGCCAAGGAUGUUUUCAUUAAUCAAGAACGAAAGUUAGGGGAUCGAAGACGAUCAGAUACCGUCGUAGUCUUAACCAUAAACUAUGCCGACUAGGGAUCGGAUGAUGUUAAUUAUUUAAUGACUCAUUC